CCUUUUCCUCAUGCUUCCCAACUGGCUGCUUGUGGCCAUCCUGGCCCCCCUGGGGUGCACCCUGAAACAGUCCCCUGACACAGUCAUCAGAGUGGGCCAGUCUGUCACCCUGAGCUGUUCUGACAUGAAGACAGAUCACUACUAUAUGUACUGGUAUAAGCAGGCAGAAGGGAUGGACAGCAGGCUGCAGCUUGUGGUUUAUGCAGCGAAAACGGGCAAAGAAGAGUUUGAGAAGAAUUUUGGUGAUGGUCGCUUCAGGAGCACUGGCAUCCAGGCUGAGGGUCUGUCUCUGUCAAUAGAUGCUGCCUCACUCAAUGACUCUGGCACUUAUUACUGUGCUGAGCAAGAUACACAGUGA
This is a non-coding RNA of Tinamus guttatus (white-throated tinamou), 358 nucleotides long. NCBI's taxonomy places the organism in Eukaryota, Metazoa, Chordata, Aves, Tinamiformes, Tinamidae. The record is from the annotation of a RefSeq genome assembly.